Molecule: ribosomal RNA, 687 nt
Filed under: uncultured Cupriavidus sp.
Lineage: Bacteria; Pseudomonadati; Pseudomonadota; Betaproteobacteria; Burkholderiales; Burkholderiaceae
Description: bacterial SSU rRNA
Rfam family: Bacterial small subunit ribosomal RNA
Source: RNAcentral
AGAGUUUGAUUCUGGCUCAGAUUGAACGCUGGCGGCAUGCCUUACACAUGCAAGUCGAACGGCAGCGCGGACUUCGGUCUGGCGGCGAGUGGCGAACGGGUGAGUAAUACAUCGGAACGUGCCCUGUUGUGGGGGAUAACUAGUCGAAAGAUUAGCUAAUACCGCAUACGACCUGAGGGUGAAAGCGGGGGACCGUAAGGCCUCGCGCAAUAGGAGCGGCCGAUGUCUGAUUAGCUAGUUGGUGGGGUAAAGGCCUACCAAGGCGACGAUCAGUAGCUGGUCUGAGAGGACGAUCAGCCACACUGGGACUGAGACACGGCCCAGACUCCUACGGGAGGCAGCAGUGGGGAAUUUUGGACAAUGGGGGCAACCCUGAUCCAGCAAUGCCGCGUGUGUGAAGAAGGCCUUCGGGUUGUAAAGCACUUUUGUCCGGAAAGAAAUUGCGCUGGUUAAUACCCGGCGUAGAUGACGGUACCGGAAGAAUAAGCACCGGCUAACUACGUGCCAGCAGCCGCGGUAAUACGUAGGGUGCGAGCGUUAAUCGGAAUUACUGGGCGUAAAGCGUGCGCAGGCGGUUUUGUAAGACAGGCGUGAAAUCCCCGGGCUCAACCUGGGAAUUGCGCUUGUGACUGCAAGGCUAGAGUGCGUCAGAGGGGGGUAGAAUUCCACGUGUAGCAGUGAAAUGCG